This 211-nucleotide unclassified non-coding RNA is filed under the name Hevea brasiliensis (rubber tree). Lineage: Eukaryota; Viridiplantae; Streptophyta; Magnoliopsida; Malpighiales; Euphorbiaceae. The record is from RNAcentral.
GAAUACUCCAUAUCCCUAUCAAUACUACCCCCUCAAAAAUAGGCUUGUCCUCAAGCCUGUAUGCCAAACCUAAAACAAGUAAUUCAAGCAAUUGUUGGUGGGAUAACUGAGUAAAACCCUCAAACUGGUGGUGAUGUGAAAUUAAUACUGGAAUUACAGUGAAGAAUGAUUCAUCCAAGUUCAUUUUGGUCUUAAUAAUUGCAAUAAUGUA